Molecule: long non-coding RNA, 1465 nt
Organism: Arachis stenosperma
Lineage: Eukaryota; Viridiplantae; Streptophyta; Magnoliopsida; Fabales; Fabaceae
Exons: 6
Source: RefSeq, a predicted model, not a curated record
CAUCACCUUCGAUUUUAUUGCUAAAAACACCAACUCAGCUCCUCCUUCCCCCCUCCAACUUCAGAAACACAAUUUUACCCCCAAAUUCCUCACCAACUCUCAUUUUAUCCUUUUCUUUUCUGCAUUCCUCACCAAGUUCAGAAACAAUGAAUAUUGUUAAUUUCCGCACCAACCCUCAUUUUACCCUAAAUUCACCAACCCUUAUCUCUGCUACCGGCGUCACGAUUGCGCCGCCAUCGCGCUUUGUUGCUGCCAUGCUGCUGUCGCUCCUCUUGCUCGCACCGCCGGCGCUCCUUCUCUCUGUUGCCGCUAUCGCUCCUCCUACUUUGGUCCUUCUCCGCUCUCUCUCAAUUGAUGGAUGCAUUCCUGGAAUUUCAACAAUGGCCGUUACUGUUCAUCUCCCUUCUGAUUUUUCCCUCUACUUUUCUUUUUCUCAAAUACCAAAAGGUUACUUCUUACUUUGCUCUGAUCAUAGCUCUCUUUUAUUCUUUUUUUUUUCAGUUUCAAAAUUUCUUUUUCUUCUUUGGUGUUUCCGACUUCUCCACCGGUUCCUGAGUUGAGAGCUCAAUUAAAUUCAAUUCACCACCGAAUGGUUCAACGGUUGUGGCUUGUAGGAAGUUAUUGGGUGAGUUGAGAAAGCAUGAGAAAUGGAAAUAGGCAGGGGAGGAGGAAGAAGAGGAGGAGUUUGAAGAACAUGAUGCAGUGACUGUGCUCAGGGGAGCAGUUGAGACGAGGAGGCAUGGAUGAGAUGGCAGUUCUUUCGACAUCGGAUUCUCUUGCCACCAAGGACUAUUAUUUAGCCACGACGGGCAGCGGCCGUUCUGGCCAGGAUGGACAACUUCAAGGAAGGCUGGAUGCAGGAAAUAUCAAAGAAGCUGAAUUGUCGUUGCGUGAGGCUGGCUGCUUGAAUUAUGAGGUAUUUUCUAUAGUAAUGGUUCAUCAUUGGAUGCAAUAGCAGAUACUAACUGAUGUAGUUAGUGGUACUUAUCAAAUUAUAUGGCUUGGAGAUUUGAAUUACCGGAUAGCUCUAUCCUACGGUUCAGCAAAGGCACUUGUUGAGAUGCAAAAUUGGAGAGCAUUAUUGGAGAAUGACCAGGUACCAAUGGUCUAAAAAGGUGUGGAAAAAGUUGUAGAUUGAGAUGGCUUAACUAUUUGAGGCCUAACAUUAAGCAUGGUGAAUUCUCCGACGAGGAAGAUAGAAUAAUCUGCAGUCUUUAUGCUAAUAUUGGAAGCAGAUGGUCAAUUAUAGCAGCACAGUUGCCAGAAAGGACUGACAAUGAUAUAAAGAACUAUUGGAACACCAAGCUCAAGAAGAAGCUCAUGGCUUUGCUUCCCAGUCAUCAUCAUAAUCAACAAAACCCACCACCAUUCAUUUCUGAUUAAUUAAUUAGUUAAUGUAUAUGUAAGUUACUAGUGAUAUGCACGCUGCACCCAUAAUUAUAAUCAUAAUCAAACUCCUUUUUUU